RNAcentral lists this long non-coding RNA (1156 nucleotides) under Sus scrofa (pig). RNAcentral describes it as "lncRNA (ENSSSCG00025072256.1)". Lineage: Eukaryota; Metazoa; Chordata; Mammalia; Artiodactyla; Suidae. The record is from RNAcentral.
AUGCCGAGAUGCCGAGUGUGGUUCCUGGGAAAGAAAGGAGCUAGAGGGGCCACGCUCUCUGCUCUGCACACUCAGAGCCCCCCAACAGCUCAAUCCCUGCAAAACGAACACCGCACAUGGUUUUCACUUUUCGCGCCUUGUUUUGUGAAAGGGAAAAAUCCUCUUCCGUUAGUGAAAACAGGUCCAGUUCCAGGUCCACAUGGUACAGGGUACCUUUGCCCCCUUUCUGUCUCUGCCCUUCUCCCCAUGCCGCACGUGGGUUUGGAAACGCAGUCCUGGUGGAGGACACAGGAUGAACAUGCGACCUGUGAGGAUUCAGGAGGCUGCUCGUCUCAUUCAAGGCACCAUUGAUUUGACAGCCCUUUCCCAAGUAUGUUAACAUCCCCGAUUCUCCUCUUCUGCAGACGGUGAGAGCUCCUCCCCACUAAGCCUGACUCCCCAGGGAGCCCUGGUUGUGACAGAUGCGGUGGUCAGACAGGACUGUCUGCUCAGUCAAAAUUCAGAGCAGGACUGGGACUCCUUUUCAUUUCACAAGGUUAAAAAAAAUGGUUCUUCGUUCGUCCUCUGUGGCGCCACUAGGGGAGAAUUUGGAAAAUUUAUACACACAGUCAAUAAGCUUGUCAUCAAAGAGGCACGGGGGCUCCCAGCUGGGAAGAACAAUUGGCAAAUUCUCCAUUCUGGGCUUUGUUUAUCCUCUCAUUGUGAUGCAUAAUCACUGCUUCCUUAAGAAGGUCUGUGAUUCUUAAUUAGAUUUGACUUUGCAAAUCUUGCAUUUUCCUGGAGAGAACAAGCAAACCAAGUGAAUGGUGGUGGCCUUGACCUGGCAACAGAUUGCCCCCAAUCUUGCUUCUGGCAAAAAGCACAGAGGUUGGAUGGCCUGAGCUGACACGUUAUCACAGAAUCCCGGAAAGUGAGGCGCACAGGGACUCACUCUCAUCCACUCUCAGCAUCCCAGCCCGCCCAGCUUCUUCUCCCUUCUGGGUACGUGUCUCUGCUGGGGAUGGGGCGCCCAUUCCGCUCCAGAAAGACCACGAUCCCACGGGGCAACUGCAGCUGCCAGAGACUACUGUCUUUUGCUCAAAAAUUGGUGCUACUGCCAGCCCCACCCCGUCCUUCCCCUCCCCUUUGAAGGGGCACGUGGGCACGUCUGCCACAC